CUCGUUAGCAAAUAAAACCUUGUUCUGCAGGUCCUUUAAGCAAUUUUUUUUUUUCUGAUGGAUAAUUACCUUUUUUUUUUUUCUUCCGUAAGUCUCCAAACUACUGUGCUCCUGUUUUAACCUCUAUACAGUCAGAGAAGGCAAUUCAGGCUGACCAGACUGGCACUCUCCAGUUUCAAACAGAUUAUUGGAAGUAUGAGAUCAACCUCAAAGGUGAAGUAUCUGUUUGCUUGAUCUCUAAUGCAGGUGGGAUGUCCUGCACGGGCAAGGCUUGCAGGCCAGGACACAAAAGGGGUGAAAAGCUCUUCACUGAUUUUAAGCAGUCAGUACUACAGGAGCAUGGAGGGGAGUGUGGAAAGAAGGGGAUUCUCUGCUAAGCAGGCACAAGGAUAAGUGCAGAUGUUGGUGUAAGAAGGAGAUGUACAGGAUGGGAGCUGAGGGUGGUUUUGGGAAGCCCUGAACGUGGCUGCAGGACUGGCUGUGCCGGGUCCCUAGAACUUUUGGCCUGGAUAUCUCCCAGAAACAAAGAGCUCCUUGAAACAGGGCAAAACAAGGUGACGAUCUGUUCUUCGGCUCUCACACAGGUUUUGAUGUGCGUCUUCAGAGUCACCGCGAUUGACACCGAGAGUGGAGAAAUGGCAUGAUGAAAGGAGAACACAAACCACGCGUGCCCCAAAAAGAACAAGGUGCUGCCCUUAUAACUUCUGCAAAUGUGGUGCCACAGUAUCAGAUUCAGCUGCACAUUUUUGAAUUUCAAGUGGAUUCACAGAAAUAUGAGAGAGACUUCAAAGGUAAAAAAAAAAAUCUGUGUACUUACCUGUUGACAUACUUAUGGGAGAACUAACUGCCAUGCAGCUUUUCUUCCAAAAUGCUACUUAAAAUCUUUUUUUGCUUGAAUGUGAAAGCAAUGAGGGAACAUUUCAUGGAGUACAGGCAGCAUCUAUUAACACUGGAAGAAGGGAAGGGGAAGGAACUGAAA
Molecule: long non-coding RNA, 979 nt
Filed under: Taeniopygia guttata (zebra finch)
Lineage: Eukaryota; Metazoa; Chordata; Aves; Passeriformes; Estrildidae
Description: lncRNA (ENSTGUG00000020443.1)
Source: RNAcentral